GAAGGCAAUCAGGAAGUGUUUGUGUAGCACACAUCUGUGUUAAUGAGCAGUAUGAGCUUGUCAGCUGUUCCCUCGGAUUUUUGGAGCACGGGCUCAAGUCACAUGCUGGUCAGAUGGCCAAGAGGAUAUUUAAAGGGACCCUGCUGAUGCCGCGCCUGCAGGUUACAGUCCUCCGGGUGCAGUGGUUCUAAACAGUUCAACAGUUCUCUAUCGACAUUGUGAAAUGUUUAGGACCACUUGAUCCGCAGGACACUGACCGCCAGAUAAGAGUUGUGAAUGUUGCUUUGGAAACUGCGUCUUGGCGUGGUUAGAUUUGCAUACUGUAAACUGGGUUACAUUUUAUUACAGAGACAGGUGUGCCAGUACUUUCCUAUUGUGUACAAACCAAUAAUACCUGUCCUCUGCCAAGCUGCUUCAGCUGCCCCUGAAACUGGCUACUUACAGGGAAACUGCCUUCCAAGUAUUUUACAAACAGGAGGUAGCUACACAGUUCAUCACUGCUGCUGCUAGCUCUUACAAAGAACCGGCACGUGUAGUCCGUCAUUCAGUCCAUUUCCUGUAAAUUUAUCUCCUGAUAUCUAUUCAACUCCCAUUUAAAAUUAUUUACGGCAUUUGCUUCAGUGUCUGAAAACUGAAUGGAAAAUGUCCUCAUCAUUUCCAAUCUCGAUGUUUUGGGAAUGUGUUUGAAUCUAGAUCCCUCUGGUUAUUGGUCCCUUACAGAGGGGAUAGUUUUUUCUAUAGUUAUCAAAUCCUCUGAUCUUGGAAUUAUGUUAACUUUGGCUUCUAAAAAGGAAGCUUCCAAUUGUUCCAAUAUUCCCAUGUAAACUAAAGUCCUUCAUUGCUGAUCACACCCUUGUUAAAACUUCCUUUGUGUCCUUUCUAAAGUUUUAUGUUUUUCAGACAUAUAGUUCUCAAUUGUCUGCGGCAUUCCAACUCUGUCCUGGCCAAUGAUUUAUGCAUUUCUAAUUUUUUUUUGUAGUGUAAAAUAUAUGUAUUUGUAAAAAUUCUGUUCUGUUGAACUAUUUUUGUGAUGGUUCAGGCAGUGACUUGCAUUUAAGUAGUUACCUUCGAUGCCUUUUUAUUUCUAGAGCUGCUGUACAGACCUGGAAGACCUGAAUUUUGAUUUCUAUUGUGUUCUGAGUUAGUUAGCAGGAGCAGUAGAGUUGGGUUUAGUUCCCCAUGAAUUGUAGAGGUGAAAAGCAGUUACAGUUCCCACAUCUCACUACUGUUACCCAACUUCUAAUGAAAUUUUAUAUGUUCUGUUAAGACAGAGGCAGCUAAGUUUCUCUUGCAUCUCAAAGAGACGUGAAAUGUCAAAGCGUUCAAAGGAAUAAUGAACUUGAUGUUGACUGUAAUGAUACCCAAAUAAUUUAAGUUGAUUUCUUCAAGAGGUGGGGAAAGGUUAAAUGAGAAAAUAAUAUUUGCUGCAAUUCACAUCUUUUAAUGAAAAUGAUAUACAAUAUGGUUCUUUUUUUUCCAAAAUGUGAUAUCUGUUCCAAACAAACUUUCCUGUUUUUUUUAAAAAGAAUUGAUAUGCAUGUUGUGAACUGGACAUUUUUUGAUUAUGAAUAUGACAUUAAAUGCAAAGCAAUAAAGAAAAAGAUGUAA
Long non-coding RNA from Hemiscyllium ocellatum (epaulette shark), 1608 nucleotides. RefSeq lists it as uncharacterized. The record is from RefSeq and is a predicted model, not a curated record. NCBI's taxonomy places the organism in Eukaryota, Metazoa, Chordata, Chondrichthyes, Orectolobiformes, Hemiscylliidae. The transcript is spliced from 2 exons.